Molecule: ribosomal RNA, 482 nt
Filed under: uncultured bacterium
Lineage: Bacteria
Description: partial 16S ribosomal RNA
Rfam family: Bacterial small subunit ribosomal RNA
Source: RNAcentral
AUUGAACGCUGGCGGCAUGCUUUACACAUGCAAGUCGAACGGUAACAGGCCGCAAGGUGCUGACGAGUGGCGAACGGGUGAGUAAUGCAUCGGAACGUGCCCAGUCGUGGGGGAUAACUACUCGAAAGAGUAGCUAAUACCGCAUACGAUCUAUGGAUGAAAGCGGGGGACCGUAAGGCCUCGCGCGAUUGGAGCUGCCGAUGUCAGAUUAGGUAGUUGGUGGGGUAAAGGCUCACCAAGCCAACGAUCUGUAGCUGGUCUGAGAGGACAACCAGCCACACUGGGACUGAGACACGGCCCAGACUCCUACGGGAGGCAGCAGUGGGGAAUUUUGGACAAUGGGCGCAAGCCUGAUCCAGCAAUGCCGCGUGCAGGAAGAAGGCCUUCGGGUUGUAAACUGCUUUUGUACGGAACGAAACGGCUCUGGUUAAUACCCGGGGCUAAUGACGGUACCGUAAGAAUAAGCACCGGCUAACUACGUG